GCGCUCAAUAUAAGAUGACGUGCGCACGAGAUGAGAUGUCGUGCGCACGAGAUUGUACUGCAAGGCGUUUUUCCCUGACUUCUCUGGUUUAUUGUAGUUGUGAUUAGUUUGUAUAAAUUCUCUCUACUUAUAUAUUAAUUAAUACUCAUGUUUUAUUGUUUGGGCCUCCUUGGCCGAGUGGUUAAAGUCAAAGACUUCAAAUCAAUAGCCAUUCACCGAUGUAUGUUUGAUUCUCACUUGGGGUGUUGACUUCUUCAUGUUAGGAAGCCAUCCAGCUAGCUUACGGAGGUGGGUGGGUCUACCCAGGUGCCCGCUCGUGAUGAAGUAAUACAUGGAAUGGCCCAUCUAGUCUUCCUGUACCGUCAAAGGUAGAAAUUUGCCAUAUGACCUAUUCUAGUGAUUUGUUAAACCCAACAAUUGUAUUUGAUUUUAAAAUUGAGUCAAGUGGAUAACCCUGAAAUAGAUAAUAUUACUUUUUUUAAUUUCAGCCUUGACGGUCAAAAAUAGUGAACAAAAAUACUUGUAUUCAAUAUUUUCUAUAAGUUUAAAGUAAAAACAUGUUAAACAUCAUGAAUGUCCCAAUGUCUUCACGAGGAGCAUGUUUUAAGCUAGAGAAAUUCUCAAACUGUCUAUUUUUACAUAACUAAUUUUAUGAAGUUCCAUAACUGGUGGUUAUUUUUAAAUGCGAUUUUCGGCUCAUAAUAGAGCAGUUAAUUGAAAAAUAAAACAACAUUAGAAUGAUAAAAUUCGGUAGAUUCAAUGUAAAAUGAAAUGGUUUGAGUGUAAUGUACUCAUAGCAAACAUAAUUAUAACUUAAGUUUGUCCUGGGCAUCCAGGGUCUCAGAAAAAUAAAAUUACUUGUAAAUCACAAAAUUCUCUCAUUUUCCUACGAGGUACAGCAAUUUGCGAUGCGGUUGAGUUUGUUUUAACUACUACGUUUUUUUUUAUUUUACAACAGAACUAAAACAUCUAACCUCGAGUCUCGAGAGCGAUUAAUCAAAGUUGUAAGAGCUUAUUUUGCAAUAGAGCAUUAAAAAGUUAGUUUUAACUUAAUUUUAAUAAUACAACGAUGAACAUCACGCCUGACAAAAUUGCAGAGGCUUGUUUAACCUCAUUUUUCGAGUAAAAAAUACACACUCCAUUUAAUACUGCUAUCAGUUUUUAUCUAAGUUUUAAAAUCUUUAUGUAAAGAUGAUGCUUAAUAAUGUGCCGAAAACCGCAGUAAAAAUAAACAACCGGUUACGGAACUACAUACGGAGUAACAUUAUUUAUUAAACGACCCUCGUAAAAAUUAAGAUUAUGCAACUCCUUUUUCCCCGUUAACAGGUUUUUUUUUUCUUUUUCAUUUUCUAGAAACUAUGGAUCGAAAUACUUCGAUACUGUAUUUCUAUUUUGCAGUAACGAUGGACCUAUUAUUGGCGCAAUAUUGGAUCGCUUGUUCUUGUCUUUGCUGUUGUUACAGCGUUUGUUAUUAUUUGUUGCCGUAAGAAGUCUCAUGGACAGCCAGGACAGGUUUUCAACCUGCAAGUGUAACAGCAACAAUUCAUGGCAUGUAGACAGUACCAUCACAAGCUUUGGACAAACUGGAUUCAUCAAUGUUGGUGCAUACCCCCUGCAAAUACAGACAGCAAAUAUGGUGCCUGGAGCGCGGAAAUGGCAAGAGCCUCCGCCGGAUUACACCACCACAAACAAUAUCUAAAACUAUUGAUACAUACGUCGAAAAAGUAAUGGCAUGCUUAUUUUAAUGUUAUUUGCUUUAUUACCUUCCGUACUUUGAAGAUCAUUGUGUAUUGCACUUAAAAAGGCGUAUCAAAACAUAAAUCAUACCGGACUGAGGCUCAAAGAAAUGAAAUAUCAGUAUUAUUAAAUGAGUCAUUGUGUACUGAAAUACUACGGUUUCUCAUACAACUACUUUUUUAAAGUCUUAAUCUGUCAUUGAUUAUGUUAUAUAAUUAUGUAGUGAGUGAGUGAGUGAGUGAGUGAGUGAGUGAGUUGGGUUUUACUGCGAAUCUACCCAAAAUGGUCAUAUAUCGCCGUUAUAAUUAUGUAGUUGUGCAUGUGUGUAUUGCAUUCUACAAUACAUUUGUAUCUCGCUUGAAAUACAGCAGUAUUUUGUUAUUUGGCGAAUCUUGCUUAAUUGCAUAUACCACUGAGAGUUACCUAAAGAGAAGAUACAGUUUGUGUAAUUCUGUAAGUAGAUUAAAUAAAUGUCUUUAUUUGUUUCAAA
Mercenaria mercenaria is the source of this 2227-nucleotide long non-coding RNA. RefSeq lists it as uncharacterized. The transcript has 2 exons. The record is from RefSeq and is a predicted model, not a curated record. Lineage: Eukaryota; Metazoa; Mollusca; Bivalvia; Venerida; Veneridae.